This is a non-coding RNA of Schizosaccharomyces pombe (fission yeast), 200 nucleotides long. Lineage: Eukaryota; Fungi; Ascomycota; Schizosaccharomycetes; Schizosaccharomycetales; Schizosaccharomycetaceae. The record is from the annotation of a GenBank genome assembly.
CAACGUGAAGAUUGAAAAAACUUUAUAAUCCUUAUCAACUGGAUGCAAACCUACACCUAAUUAAGUACAACAGUGAGUUUUCAGUCCAGGACCUCUUUAUUACUGCAAAGAAAUAGAAAUUGGUGUUUAGAAAAAAGUUUGUAAAAAAUGCAAAGUGUCGCUGAUGGACCCAAGGACUGUUAAAUACUAGUCAAAUUUGG